RNAcentral lists this ribosomal RNA (478 nucleotides) under uncultured Curtobacterium sp. RNAcentral describes it as "bacterial SSU rRNA". It matches the Rfam family "Bacterial small subunit ribosomal RNA", at positions 912 to 1382 of the family's 1533-position model. Lineage: Bacteria; Bacillati; Actinomycetota; Actinomycetes; Micrococcales; Microbacteriaceae. The record is from RNAcentral.
CGGACGGGGGCCCGCAACAAGCGGCGGAGCAUGCGGAAUUAAUUCGAUGACAACGCGAAGAACCUUACCAAGGCUUGACAUACACCGGUAACGCCCAGAGAUUGGGUCGCCCCCUUUUGUGGUCGGUGGACAGGUGGUGCAUGGUUGUCGUCAGCUCGUGUCGUGAGAUGUUGGGUUAAGUCCCGCAACGAGCGCAACCCUCGUCCUAUGUUGCCAGCGGGUCAUGCCGGGACUCAUGGGAGACUGCCGGGGUCAACUCGGAGGAAGGUGGGGAUGACGUCAAAUCAUCAUGCCCCUUAUGUCUUGGGCUUCACGCAUGCUACAAUGGCCGGUACAAAGGGCUGCGAUACCGCGAGGUGGAGCGAAUCCCAGAAAGCCGGUCUCAGUUCGGAUUGGGGUCUGCAACUCGACCCCAUGAAGUCGGAGUCGCUAGUAAUCGCAGAUCAGCAACGCUGCGGUGAAUACGUUCCCGGGCCUU